This 366-nucleotide ribosomal RNA is filed under the name Pichia kudriavzevii. RNAcentral describes it as "eukaryotic LSU rRNA". It matches the Rfam family "Eukaryotic large subunit ribosomal RNA", at positions 73 to 445 of the family's 3401-position model. The record is from RNAcentral. Lineage: Eukaryota; Fungi; Ascomycota; Pichiomycetes; Pichiales; Pichiaceae.
AUGCCUCAGUAGCGGCGAGUGAGCGGCAGAGCUCAGAUUUGAAAUCGUAGCUUUGCGGCACGAGUUGUAGAUUCGCAGGUUGGAGUCUGUGUGGAAGGCGGUGUCCAAGUCCCUUGGAACAGGGCGCCCAGGAGGGUGAGAGCCCCGUGGGAUCGCGGCGGAAGCAGUGAGGCCCUUCUGACGAGUCGAGUUGUUUGGGAAUGCAGCUCCCAGCGGGUGGUAAAUUCCAUCUAAGGCUAAAUACUGGCGAGAGACCGAUAGCGAACAAGUACUGUGAAGGAAAGAUGAAAAGCACUUUGAAAAGAGAGUGAAACAGCACGUGAAAUUGUUGAAAGGGAAGGGUAUUGCGCCCGACAUGGGGAUUGC